UGUCUUUUAUUGUGUGACCAAGGGAAAAAAAAACGCUAAAUGAAAUUUGGAACAAAAAUAAAUAAGUUAAUAUAGUUGGAAUAAUAUUAUUUAUCAUAAUGCAAACAAAAAGAAAAAUGGCUGUGUUGAAAUCCUUUGGAGUCUCCGGCUCUCCGCUUCGUCUUCCGGAAUUCUCUCGGCGAAUCUAAGUCUCCGCCAAUAUCGCCAUCGUCUUCGUGGUAUCUCUGGUUGCAUAGGAAGCAUCAGAUUCAGAUGUAGGUAGAAGAAUGAGCAAUAUUCCUAAUUUGUGGGUUUCAAGGUUAAAUCUAAGCAAGAAGCCAAAAAACCAUCUGUUUCAUAUCGUUAGUGCACAUAGAUUUACGAUGGAUGGCAGCUUAAUAGUGAUAGGUUAGCUUGGAAAGCAUUGUUAAUGUUGAGAAGGAAAUGGUGAGCCACUUUUUGAGUUGGAUAAAACACUGGAAACUCUUGAAAAUUUUGUUCGGCAUUAAUGUACAUAACUUUCAUUUUACAUUCUCCAAUAAUCCUCUUUUAACUCCUGUCAAUUUCAUCAUCGUCCAAUAAGCUAUUUUUUUUUUAAUGUAAUUCCUCACUUUUUUUUUGUAUUACGUUUCUUGCGCCUUGAAAGAAGCUUAGAUAUCGUGUUAAUCGCGAUGAAAAGUGUAUAUCGUGUAUUUAUUUUGAAGUACCACCGUAAAUAUCGUACUAUGUUCAAAAGUUGUGCGGAUCCUUUUUAGCUUUAAAGUUGCCGCUAUUUUUCAUCGUUUUUGCAUUUUGUGCAGAUGGUUUGUGUUUUACGUGUUUCGACUAGCGACUAAGUUAGAUUUCUCAAUUAAUAUGAUAUUGUCCGUUUUGGGUUCAACUAGUAAAAUCCUCAACUAGCAAAGUCCGCACGGAUUUGGAUUUGGUUUUUGGUUCCUUCCCAUAAAGCUCAACAAUCUCCCCCUCAAACCAAAAAACCCUAUAACUCUUGAUCUCUAACCUACAACGAUAUUUAGUAUUAUCUUGUACUUCUUAAUCGCAAAGUAAUAUUGAAGGUUUCUUUCCUACACCGAACAUUCAAUCCUAUUUCUCCAAAUCCACUUUUUCUUAGCUACCAGUACUGAGCCCGUACGGAUUUAGUAGUUUUAGAACAUUAUUUAUAGUAUAAUAUAAACAACUUUGGAUUGAUUCCCAACAGAUCGUUUGGUCUUUAGCGUUUAUAGACACGAUUUUAGCUAACACACCUAUACAAAUAUCUAUUACACGCAUCUAUGCAAAUUACAUUUCCUAUUAUCAACAUACGUUCCUAUUAUCAACAUGCGUUUUUACGCUAUCUAUAUCUAUGCAUAUAUCACUCGCUAUCUUAUAUACAUAUAUGCAUAUAUCCUCAAAUCCAUCUAAACACAUCCUAUUAUCAACAUGCCUAUAUGCCUAUACACCCUAUACAUACCAUCUAUGCCUAUACACCCUAUCUAUCCUCACACCCUAUACAUACAUAUAUGCAUAUAUGAAUCCCCACACCUUAUACAUACAUCUUUACACAUGCGUAUCUACGCUAUCUAUGCCUGUGCAUGUGUACUCUGAUACUCACACCCUAUAUACAUACACACACUCAUCUAUACAGCCUAUACAUACAUCUAUGCAUAUAUCACUCACACAUACAUACAUCUAUCCACGUGUUUAUGAUCUAUUUUAACAUCAUACACACAUAAUACAUCUCGUCAACGUCAUAGGGCUGGCAAGGAUGAAGGAGAAGAUGGAAACUCUGGAAUCUGGGCACAAUCUCAGCAUCUCUUCUAUCGCUGCAAAAUUGAUGAAAAUCAAUCUUGGUUACAAUCUUGGUACAUUCAUAUUACAUAUUCAUCCAAACAUCAAACAAAAAAGUUCAGACCAAACUCGUUCUUUCUAUUAUUUCAUAAAAAUUAAAGAAACCGUUCUAUUUUUCUUAGACAGAACAACUAAACGUACAUAGAUUGACUGACAUAGAGAGCGAAAAAGGAGGAACAUGUAAUAUAACUCGUAUUCCUAAGCUUUAAUUGGAAGGGCAUAUAUGGCUAAAUAUCAGUUUAUUAAAAGAAACACAUCAAUGAAAUCAAGACAGCAAGAUGUAACAAAAAAAAAAGAGUUUUUAAAACAGAGCUUCUGAAAUGUUUGUGUAACUCCAUAAAACAAAUGUUUAAAAGAUGACGAAAACGGGAAUAUAAAGCGACUACAAGAAUAUUAAAGCUGGAGACAAAAAUAUAUAGACAGCAACUCAGCAAGAUAUAACAAAAAAUAAAGAGUCUUUAAAACAGAUUAAAGAAACACACAUCAAUGAAAUGUUUUUAAAACAGAGUUUUUCAAAACAAAAAAAAAGAGUUUUUAACAACAAUAAAGAGUCUUUAAAACAGAUUAAAGAAACACAUCAAUGAAAUGUUUUUAAAACAGAGUUUUUAGCAACAAAAAAAAGAGUUUUUAAAACAGAGUUUCUGAAAUGUUUGUGCAACUCCAUAAAACAAAUGUUUAAAAGAUGACGAACACGAGAAUGUAAAGCGACUACAAGAAUAUGAAAGCUGGAGACAAAAAUAGACAGCAAGAUAUAAUAAAAAAAAGUCUUUAAAACAGAUUAAAGAAACACAUCAAUGAAAUCAAGACAUCAAGAUAUAACAAAAAAAAAAGAGUUUUAAAACAGAGCUUCUGAAAUGUUUGUGUAACUCCAUAAAACAAAUGUUUAAAAGAUGACGAACACGGGAAUUCAAAGCGACUACAAAAAUAUUAUAAAGCUGGAGAAACUACAGGAAUUAGACCAGAGUGAUACCUUGUAAAAAGAUGAGGUUAUGUUUGCUGCUCUCGCUUUAAUGAGAAACAGAGCAAGUUUGAGUGAGAACUUAAGUGGAGGAAAAGAACUAAGAGUGUAAAAAUAUACUGAGUGAACUGAGUGAAGAAAUGAGAAACAGAGAAAGUUUUAGUGAGAACUCAAGUGGAGGAAUAUAACUAAAAGAGAGUAAAAAUAAACUGAGUGAAUUGAGC
RNAcentral lists this long non-coding RNA (2988 nucleotides) under Eutrema salsugineum. Its description in RNAcentral is "long non-coding RNA (ESAL_LNC001015)". Lineage: Eukaryota; Viridiplantae; Streptophyta; Magnoliopsida; Brassicales; Brassicaceae. The record is from RNAcentral.